CCUAGGGGAGGCAGCAGUGAGGAAUAUUGGUCAAUGGGCGCUAGCCUGAACCAGCCAAGUAGCGUGAAGGAUGACUGCCCUAUGGGUUGUAAACUUCUUUUAUAUGGGAAUAAAGUGCAGUAUGUAUACUGCUUUGCAUGUACCUUAUGAAUAAGGAUCGGCUAACGCCGUGCCAGCAGCCGCGGUAAUACGGAGGAUCCGAGCGUUAUCCGGAUUGAUUGGGUUUAAAGGGAGCGUAGGCGGGUUGUUAAGUCAGUUGUGAAAGUUUGCGGAUCAACCGUAAAAUUGCAGUUGAUACUGGCAUCCUUGAGUAUAGUAGAGGUAGGUGGAAUUCGUGGUGUAGCGGUGAAAUGCUUAGAGAUCACGAAGAAUUCCGAUGGCGAAGGCAGCCUGCUGGACUGUAACUGACGCUCAGGUACGAAAGCGUGGGUAUCGAACAGGAUUAGAUACCCCAGUAGUC
RNAcentral lists this ribosomal RNA (460 nucleotides) under uncultured bacterium. RNAcentral's name for it is "partial 16S ribosomal RNA". It matches the Rfam family "Bacterial small subunit ribosomal RNA", at positions 338 to 795 of the family's 1533-position model. The record is from RNAcentral.